This 720-nucleotide ribosomal RNA is filed under the name uncultured bacterium. RNAcentral describes it as "bacterial SSU rRNA". It matches the Rfam family "Bacterial small subunit ribosomal RNA", at positions 8 to 753 of the family's 1533-position model. The record is from RNAcentral.
AGAGUUUGAUCCUGGCUCACAAUUAAGGCUGGCGGUAGGCCUAACACAUGCAAGUCGAGGGAGAAUCUAUCUUCGGAUAGUGGAGACCGGCAGACGGGUGAGUAACACGUGGGAACAUACCGAGUAGUGGGGGAUAACAGUUGGAAACGACUGCUAAUACCGCAUACGCCCUUCGGGGGAAAGAUUUAUCGUUAUUCGAUUGGCCCGUGUUAGAUUAGCUAGUUGGUAAGGUAACGGCUUACCAAGGCGACGAUCUAUAUUUGGUUUGAGAGGAUGAUCAGCCUCACUGGGACUGAGACACGGCCCAGACUCCUACGGGAGGCAGCACUGGGGAAUAUUGAGCAAUGGAGGAAACUCUGACGCAACCAUGCCGCGUGAGUGAAGAAGGCCUUAGGGUUGUAAAGCUCUUUCAGACGCGAUGAUGAUGACAGUAUCGUCAAAAGAAGUUCCGGUUAACUUCGUGCCAACAGCCGCGGUAAUACGAAGGGAACUAGCGUUGUUCGGAUUUACUGGGCGUAAAGAGCAUGUACGCGGAUUGGACAGCUGAGGGUGAAAUCCCAGAGCUCAACUCUCGGAACUGCCUGUCAAUACUUCCAGUCUAGAGUCCGCAAGGGGGUGGUGGAAUUCCGAGUGUAGAGGUGAAAUUCGAACUGUAUUCGGAAGCUGCAUCGACUGGCGAAGGGCGACCGCCCUGAGUACGAAUAUCCGACGCUGAGCAUG